This is a long non-coding RNA of Macadamia integrifolia, 2313 nucleotides long. RefSeq lists it as uncharacterized. The transcript has 4 exons. NCBI's taxonomy places the organism in Eukaryota, Viridiplantae, Streptophyta, Magnoliopsida, Proteales, Proteaceae. The record is from RefSeq and is a predicted model, not a curated record.
AGGUUGCAACAACCAGUGAUUUGAGAAAAAGAAUACAGCUUUAUGCUUGGUUUGUGAGAAAGUAUAGUGAGAUCUCAUUGGCGAGAGACACAGGACUGAGAUAGUCCACUAACCCUUCUUCUUCUAUAUUCUAUUUUUUUUAUUUUGUUUCUAUUGCUAGUGGUUGCUGUGAUUAAGAUUUAUUGAUCAUGUUUAAGAUCCUACCUGGGACUAGGUCCUUCGUGAUCCAGCCUUACAUUAUGUUUGCAGAAGUUAUCACAUCUUUAUCGCCUAUUACUUGGGCAUGUUGGUGCUACAUUUCAAGAGGUAAUAGGGUUAACUAUCGACCCUUAAAAUGCUACCUUGAUUGGAGUCUUGUGUGUGGAGUAGUGCCCAUCGCAAGGUCUCAUAUUCUUCAGCCUUGUGUUCAGGCUGAAGGUUGAAGACAGUUGCCUUCUCCCUUUUUUAUGUAUGUUACUUUUGGGUUUAUUUUUUUGUUGCCCUUUGUUUAAUUGAUUUCCCUUCUUUCUAUUUCCCCUCCCUACCUCUUAUCCUCUUUCGUCCUUAGAUAUUCAUGAAAUGAGUAAAAAUGACUUAAAAAGUAAAUUUAAAUAUUUUUGCAAGAUCUAAUUUAGAAAUGUAAUAACUAUCAGAAUCUUGUGAAUUUUUAGAAGUUAUCUUUGGGGUUCUCUUUGAGGUUGAAAUUACUUAUCCUACUAAUUUUGUGAAUCUUGUUCUGUGAUUUUUUUUUAUUAUUUCUAUCUUAAAGCCUUUGACUUGGAAUAUUCGUGAUGCUUAAAUUUGGAUUUUAAUGUUUUUCCCAAGCCUCUUAUAUCAUAUGUGCUUUAUCCCUAGCUUGGGCUCUGAGGGGUUUAGUGGUGGACUAUGGUGCUUGUUGAAUGAUGUUAUUACAGUUACUUUUGUGCAUGUAGGCACUCGCUUUAUUGAGAUUUUUCUGCUUGCAAAUCAUGCGACUUUGUUAGAUUAUCAGGUACUUAAGGGAAGUGGUAAAUUUUACUGCAGGGGAAAAAAUGCCUUGUUGAAGGCCCUCUCAAUCUUGCUCGUUUCUCCCUCCCUCUCUUGCCUUCUCUCUUCCUCUUCCUUGCCCCUCCCUUUUUCUGAAACUCUACUCUCUCCAAUUCUUUCUUUCCCCUCUCCACAGCUUUCCUUUGAUUUGCUAUCCCACCUGUUGUUGCCACUCAUUUCUCUCUCUGGCCCUCCCCCGCAACAAACAUAUUUGGAGUUUAAAGUUAUAUGCCUUUGGUUAGAUUGUUAUGUUAUAUUAUUAUUUGGGGAAAAGGAUGUUACUAUAACUACUAAUUUCAGUUCUUUUUAUUUCUCAGUUUUCCUACGGAUUUUAGGAAACCUAAUUCAAGUAUACUUCUUUAAAUUAUGACUAUUCUGAUAUUGUUUUCUAUUGCUAAUUACCGGACAGAUCGAGGGUCUGGAGGCUCUGGCAGUACUGCAAAGAUUCAAGCGUCAUCGUUGGGAGAGACAGGAUCAGGCGAUUCUCCCCUUCUCCUUUUCUUUACUCCUCUUUGUCUCCUUGAUUCUUUGUUGCUCGGUGAUUCUUUCGAGGGUAUAUGGAGAUUGAGAGGUUUUCAGCCAUUUGAGUGAGAAAAUGUCAACUUCAAAACAAGCAGUUAAUGAGACUGCAAAAUGGAGCCAAGCAAAUGUAGACACCCUUAUUGUUCUGAUGGUAGAGGAAGUUAAGAAAGGAAAUAGGACUACUUCGACUUUUAAUAAAGCUGGUUGGAACAACAUUGCCAAUAACUUUAAAGAAAAAACUGGGGUCAACUAUGCCAUUAUACAGUUGAAGAACAAAGUGAACAAACUGAGGUAGGAUUAUAGUCAGUUUAAGAAGCUAUUGGAGACAACUGGUUUUGGUUGGGAUACUGCUUCAAGAACUUGUACUGUUGAUGAUGAAUCCAUCUGGGAAUCGCAUAUUAAGGAUAACCCUACUUGGGCACGAUUUAAGAAGCAUGGACUACCACAAUGGCCAGAACUAUGUAUGGUAUUUGGUGAUACAUAUGUAGACGGCGAAUGAAGUGGGACUCAAACAACCAUGUUGGAAACUUUGGGGGCCGAUGAUGAUAGGAAUAUGAUUGAAUCUUGUGAUGAGUCAAGUUCCGUUGAUGAAGUUACUCCAUUAGGUGACACUCAAACUGAAGCAGUGGAAAAAAGGCCAGCUACUAAGCAUAGGCAUGAUAGGACUCCAAAUGCGAAAAGGAGGAGGAGUAAGUCUAAUGAUUGGUCAAUGGCAUUCAAGGCAAUUCAAGAUAUGAGUAAAUCAAGGGUAGAACGGGAUGCGAGCAUGUCCACUGCUUCAACCCA